RNAcentral lists this ribosomal RNA (1281 nucleotides) under Microbacterium sp. Its description in RNAcentral is "bacterial SSU rRNA". It matches the Rfam family "Bacterial small subunit ribosomal RNA", at positions 112 to 1400 of the family's 1533-position model. The record is from RNAcentral. Lineage: Bacteria; Bacillati; Actinomycetota; Actinomycetes; Micrococcales; Microbacteriaceae.
AACACGUGAGCAACCUGCCCCUGACUCUGGGAUAAGCGCUGGAAACGGCGUCUAAUACUGGAUAUGUGACGUGACCGCAUGGUCUGCGUCUGGAAAGAAUUUCGGUUGGGGAUGGGCUCGCGGCCUAUCAGCUUGUUGGUGAGGUAAUGGCUCACCAAGGCGUCNACGGGUAGCCGGCCUGAGAGGGUGACCGGCCACACUGGGACUGAGACACGGCCCAGACUCCUACGGGAGGCAGCAGUGGGGAAUAUUGCACAAUGGGCGCAAGCCUGAUGCAGCAACGCCGCGUGAGGGAUGACGGCCUUCGGGUUGUAAACCUCUUUUAGCAGGGAAGAAGCGAAAGUGACGGUACCUGCAGAAAAAGCGCCGGCUAACUACGUGCCAGCAGCCGCGGUAAUACGUAGGGCGCAAGCGUUAUCCGGAAUUAUUGGGCGUAAAGAGCUCGUAGGCGGUUUGUCGCGUCUGCUGUGAAAUCCGGANGGCUCAACCUCCGGCCUGCAGUGGGUACGGGCAGACUAGAGUGCGGUAGGGGAGAUUGGAAUUCCUGGUGUAGCGGUGGAAUGCGCAGAUAUCAGGAGGAACACCGAUGGCGAAGGCAGAUCUCUGGGCCGUAACUGACGCUGAGGAGCGAAAGGGUGGGGAGCAAACAGGCUUAGAUACCCUGGUAGUCCACCCCGUAAACGUUGGGAACUAGUUGUGGGGUCCAUUCCACGGAUUCCGUGACGCAGCUAACGCAUUAAGUUCCCCGCCUGGGGAGUACGGCCGCNAAGGCUAAAANCUCAAAGGAAUUGACGGGGACCCGCACAAGCGGCGGNAGCAUGCGGAUUAAUUCGAUGCAACGCNGAAGAACCUUACCAAGGCUUGACAUAUACGAGAACGGGCCAGAAAUGGUCAACUCUUUGGACACUCGUAAACAGGUGGUGCAUGGUUGUCGUCAGCUCGUGUCGUGAGAUGUUGGGUUAAGUCCCGCAACGAGCGCAACCCUCGUUCUAUGUUGCCAGCACGUAAUGGUGGGAACUCAUGGGAUACUGCCGGGGUCAACUCGGAGGAAGGUGGGGAUGACGUCAAAUCAUCAUGCCCCUUAUGUCUUGGGCUUCACGCAUGCUACAAUGGCCGGUACAAAGGGCUGCAAUACCGCGAGGUGGAGCGAAUCCCAAAAAGCCGGUCCCAGUUCGGAUUGAGGUCUGCAACUCGACCUCAUGAAGUCGGAGUCGCUAGUAAUCGCAGAUCAGCAACGCUGCGGUGAAUACGUUCCCGGGUCUUGUACACACCGCCCGUCAA